RNAcentral lists this ribosomal RNA (819 nucleotides) under Triticum aestivum (bread wheat). RNAcentral describes it as "partial small subunit ribosomal RNA". Lineage: Eukaryota; Viridiplantae; Streptophyta; Magnoliopsida; Poales; Poaceae. The record is from RNAcentral.
AUGGGCGCUGUCGUGAAGGCCGCGAAGGUGUGGCCGAUGGCACAGGUUAGCCUGUGGGUGGCACCAUCGUGCUGCUCUAGACGUGCAUUGUGGUGCUGCUCGUGGCGGCUUUCGGAGGGAGACAGAGUGCAGAACAUAGAGAGUUUGGGAGCUACUCGGGUUUGGAUCAGCAAGCCAUGUCUGUUUGGUUUGGCAAAGGAAGAUUUUAGCAGCAUUGCUACACCUCUCAAUGAGAUUACAAAGAAGGAUGUGCCUUUUGUUUGGGGUACCGCACAGGAAGAAGCCUUCACGGUGUUGAAAGAUAAGUUGACACAUGCUCCUUUACUCCAACUUCCUAAUUUUAAUAAGACAUUUGAGCUUGAAUGUGAUGCUAGUGGAAUUGGAUUAGGAGGUGUGUUAUUACAAGAUGGCAAACCUAUUGCAUACUUUUCUGAAAAAUUGAGUGGGCCUAGUCUGAAUUAUUCUACUUAUGAUAAAGAAUUAUAUGCUCUUGUUCGGACUUUAGAAACAUGGCACCAUUAUUUAUGGCCCAAAGAAUUUUUUAUACAUUCUGAUCAUGAAUCUUUGAAACAUAUUAAAAGUCAAGCUAAACUGAAUCGUAGACAUGCUAAAUGGGUUGAAUUCAUUGAGACUUUCCCUUAUGUCAUUAAACACAAUAAGGGUAAAGAAAAUGUUAUUGCUGAUGCAUUGUCUCGUCGCUAUACUAUGGUUUCACAACUUGACUUCAAAAUAUUUGGUUUGGAGACCAUCAAAGAUCAAUAUGAGCAUGAUGGUGAUUUUAAAGAUGUAUUGCAGAAUUGUAAAGAAGGGAGAACAUAG